This 866-nucleotide ribosomal RNA is filed under the name uncultured bacterium. RNAcentral's name for it is "bacterial SSU rRNA". It matches the Rfam family "Bacterial small subunit ribosomal RNA", at positions 28 to 896 of the family's 1533-position model. The record is from RNAcentral.
GAUGAACGCUAGCGGGAGGCCUAACACAUGCAAGUCGAACGGGAUUGGGAGCUUGCUCCCAUGAGAGUGGCGCACGGGUGAGUAACGCGUAUGCAACCUACCUUUAACUGAGGGAUAGCCCAUAGAAAUGUGGAUUAAUACCUCAUAGUUCUAUUAGAUCGCAUGAUUUGAUAGAUAAAGCUCCGGCGGUUAAAGAUGGGCAUGCGUGACAUUAGUUUGUUGGUGAGGUAACGGCUCACCAAGACUACGAUGUCUAGGGGUUCUGAGAGGAUGAUCCCCCACACUGGUACUGAGACACGGACCAGACUCCUACGGGAGGCAGCAGUGAGGAAUAUUGGUCAAUGGGCGCAAGCCUGAACCAGCCAUCCCGCGUGAAGGAUGAAGGCCCUAUGGGUCGUAAACUUCUUUUAUACACCAAGAAAAACACCCACGUGUGGGUGCCCGACGGUAGUGUAUGAAUAAGCAUCGGCUAACUCCGUGCCAGCAGCCGCGGUAAUACGGAGGAUGCAAGCGUUAUCCGGAUUCAUUGGGUUUAAAGGGUGCGUAGGCGGCUUUUUAAGUCAGUGGUGAAAUCUUGCCGCUUAACGGUAAAAUUGCCAUUGAUACUGAUAAGCUUGAGUACAAUUGAGGUAGGCGGAAUGUGUAGUGUAGCGGUGAAAUGCUUAGAUAUUAUACAGAACACCGAUUGCGAAGGCAGCUUACUAAACUGUUACUGACGCUGAUGCACGAAAGCGUGGGGAGCGAACAGGAUUAGAUACCCUGGUAGUCCACGCCGUAAACGAUGAUCACUCGCUGUAUGCGAUACACAGUAUGCGGCCAAGCGAAAGCAUUAAGUGAUCCACCUGGGGAGUACGAUCGCAAGGUUG